Non-coding RNA from Methylobacterium sp. 4-46, 364 nucleotides. The record is from Rfam. Lineage: Bacteria; Pseudomonadati; Pseudomonadota; Alphaproteobacteria; Hyphomicrobiales; Methylobacteriaceae.
GGGCUUCAAAACCGGCGCGCCUGCCUCUAUAUUCGGUAGGCCGGCCGCGAGGUCGGCUAUGGCGAUAAACGUUCUUCGCAAUAAACCUAUCGGACCCGGGGGCGGUACCCGGCGCCUCCACCCAAGCCCAGCCCGUUCCGGCGGGCUGGGCUUCGGCGGGGGCGAAAUAGGAUCGACGAGGGCGUAAAGGUUGGACUUUCGCUCGGCAUGGUUCCGCCGUUAUCGGGCCAAUGCAAUAGUUGCCAACGACAACUAUGCUCCGGUGGCGGUCGCCGCGUAAGCGGUGCCCAAGACCAAACAAAGUCCUAGCGGUUAGCAUCGCAUAGGCGGGGUUCGGAGGCACCUGGCAACAGAAGCCUCCACU